This 1115-nucleotide ribosomal RNA is filed under the name human gut metagenome. RNAcentral describes it as "bacterial LSU rRNA". It matches the Rfam family "Bacterial large subunit ribosomal RNA", at positions 1727 to 2854 of the family's 2925-position model. The record is from RNAcentral.
CCCGUAAGUUAGCAAUAAGGGGUGCUCGAAAGAGCCGCAGUGAAUAGGCCCUAGCAACUGUUUAACUAAAACAUAGCUCUCUGCGAAGUCGCAAGACGAAGUAUAGGGGGUGACACCUGCCCGGUGCUGGAAGGUCAAGGGGAUUUGUCAGACGCAAGUCGAAGCAUUGAACCGAAGCCCCAGUAAACGGCGGCCGUAACUAUAACGGUCCUAAGGUAGCGAAAUUCCUUGUCAGGUAAGUUCUGACCCGCACGAAUGGCGUAAUGAUUUGGGCACUGUCUCGGCAGCAGACUCGGUGAAAUCUUAGUACCUGUGAAGAUGCAGGUUACCCGCAACUAGACGGAAAGACCCCAUGGAGCUUUACUGUAGUCUGCUAUUGAGUUUCGGUUAAGUAUGCACAGGAUAGGUGGGAGACGAUGAGACUGGUCUUUCGGGAUCAGAGGAGUCACUGUUGGGAUACCACUCUGAUACUUAAUUGAAAUUCUAACUCUAAGCCGUGAUCCGGCUAGAGGACCGUGGCAGAUGGGCAGUUUGACUGGGGCGGUCGCCUCCCAAAGAGUAACGGAGGCGCACAAAGGUACUCUCAGAAUGGUUGGAAAUCAUUCAACGAGCGCAAACGCAGAAGAGUGCUUGACUGCGAGACAAACAAGUCGAGCAGGGACGAAAGUCGGUGUUAGUGAUCCGGCGGUGCAGAAUGGAAUGGCCGUCGCUUAACGGAUAAAAGCUACCCUGGGGAUAACAGGCUGAUCUCGCCCAAGAGUUCACAUCGACGGCGAGGUUUGGCACCUCGAUGUCGGCUCAUCGCAUCCUGGAGGUGAAUUCGCUUCCAAGGGUUGGGCUGUUCGCCCAUUAAAGCGGUACGCGAGCUGGGUUCAGAACGUCGUGAGACAGUUCGGUCCCUAUCUGUCGUGGGCGUUGGAAAUUUGAGGAGAGCUGCCCCUAGUACGAGAGGACCAGGGUGGACGUUCCUACGGUGCACCAGUUGUCACGCCAGUGGCAUAGCUGGGUAGCUAAGUACGGACCGGAUAAACGCUGAAAGCAUCUAAGCGUGAAACCCACUCCAAGAUGAGAUUUCCCAUCAUAAAUGAAUAAGACCCCUUGAAGACGACGAGGUU